CUCGUCCUAAAAAACGGGGUGCAGCUAGGAAGGCCUUUGCUCCCUGGCCCAUCACAUAACACGUUUAUGGGGAAUCUGAUACUAAACUAUUCGUAAACGCCCUGCUUCCGGGUCAGGGUUUCCUAUGGAGCAUGGCAGCUCCCUCACUGCAACCUAUUGAAAGUCAGCCCUCCACCCAAGUGUCUCUAAACCAGUGUGCGGGAAACCCGGCUUUGUGGCGUGUCCUGUGUAAUUCAGCCCUCGCCGUCUACCUUCCUUCUUCCCUGCUUUUGCCAGCGGGGACUAAGGUCCCGGGCCUGCUCAUGCCCACCAGCCCCCGAGCCCCGGGACAUGCAGCGGCUGUCUCUCGCGAGAGUUCAUUGGAGCCCGCCGUGCAUUUGGGAGGCGUCGGCCCCACCAGCGGGGUUCCCAAGAUACAGCGCCGGGAGUUGCCGAGAUGGAGUCUUGUUCUGUUCGUCAGGCCAUGGCGCGGUAUCGGGUCACUGCAACCUCCGCCUCCCAGGUUCCAGCGAUUCUCUUGUCUUAGCCUAUCGAGUAGCUGGGAUAACAGGUGGAGUUUCGCUCUUAUUGCCCAGGCUGGAUUGCAGUGGCACGACAUCAGCUCAUCGCAACAUCCGUCGCCUGGGUUCAAGGGAUUUUCAAUUCUUCAGCCUUUCGAGUAGCUGAAACCACAGGCACACACCGCACGCCUGGCUUUUUUUUUUUAAUAGACACUGGGUAUCUCCAUAUUCGUCAGGCUAGUCUAGAACCCCAAACCUGAGGCGAACCACCCAAGGUGCUGAGAUUAAAGGCGUGAGCCCCGCGUCCGGCCGUAACAUCUUAUCCUCUAGAAAUCCAGAGAGGGUAGGUCUGGAGUCCUUGAGACCAGCCUUCCUUGGAUGAAGUCCAAAGCGAUAGCUGAGGAUUAGGGGGUGCGGUUGGGCUUGAAAGUCGGUCCCUUAUUUUUGCUACCUAGGCCACGAUAUACCUCGACCCCCGUAGCUUGCACACCCUUUGAGAUCCCCCUUCUUGACCGCCUUGGAGGAUGACCUCUAACUUUAAUUUUUGUUUUUCUUCCUUUGUUGGGUUUCAGGAGGGGGUGCAGGAAAGAGGGUGUGUGUGGGGAGGGGGUGUGGUGGGGAUGGAGGGGAGCGUCCUAAGGUUCGAUUUAGUGUCAUGCCUCUUUCAUCACCACCACCGAAGAUGAAAGCAACAAUCAGCUGAAUACUGCGUGUCCUCACCCAUAAGUGGGAACUAAAUAAUGAGAAUGCGUGGGAAGAACUAGGGGGAUGAGAGACGCAGGAGCCUACUUGAGGGAGGAGGUGUGGAAGGAGAGACAGCUUCAGGAAAAAGCAAAGCAAACAAAACACAAAAACUGUCGGGUUUUUGUGAGUACCCGGGUGACAUAGUUUCCGGCGCUGAGUAUCCGGGAGACGAAAUCAUCUGCACACUGAACCCCCCAGUCAGAAGUUCACCUAUGUAACAAACUUGCACAUGUAUGCUUCAACAAGAAAUAAAAGUGAGGGGAGAAAGAGAGAGAGAGAAAGAGAGAGAGAGAAGUAAAUCGAAACAUCACCUCCUUCACCUGAGUCAGGGGGUUUCGGGUCUUUUGGGGGAAGGUUCUGAAACAAUGCAGUAUUUUGGUCUGUACUUUUUUGUGUCUUCGCAUUUCUUCUCUUUUUA
Pongo pygmaeus (Bornean orangutan) is the source of this 1662-nucleotide long non-coding RNA. RefSeq lists it as uncharacterized. The transcript is spliced from 3 exons. NCBI's taxonomy places the organism in Eukaryota, Metazoa, Chordata, Mammalia, Primates, Hominidae. The record is from RefSeq and is a predicted model, not a curated record.